RNAcentral lists this long non-coding RNA (1099 nucleotides) under Ornithorhynchus anatinus (platypus). RNAcentral describes it as "lncRNA (ENSOANG00000048380.1)". The record is from RNAcentral. Lineage: Eukaryota; Metazoa; Chordata; Mammalia; Monotremata; Ornithorhynchidae.
UACAAAUGAGCCCAGUGCUGUAAAACCAGGGAAUUAGCGUACCAUAUCUACUACCAUGAAUUGUAUCGAUUUUGGCAUAAUUUCUGUGGUAUAAAAACAGUGGUGGGGCUCCUCUUAUUGCUAGACCCCACCAUUGUUUUUCUAACACAGAAAUUAUGCCAAAAUAGAUACAAUUCAUCCUAGUAUUCAUUCAUUCAUUCAAUAGUAUUUAUUGAGCGCUUACUAUGUGCAGAGCACUGUACUAAGCGCUUGGGAUGAACAAGUCGGCAACAGAUAGAGACAGUCCCUGCCGUUUGACGGGCUUACGGUCUAAUCGGGGGAGACGGACAGAGUAGAUAUGGUAUGUGUGGCGAUAUAUGUUUGUGAAACAGGAGAAAGGUACGAUUGUAUGAGUGAAAUCUGCUACACCUAGAUCCCCUAUUGAGGGAGGAAUCUGCCCUUCUCCUCAGAGACCUGGAGAGGAGUACAUACAUUGACCCAGCCCCACGAGUUGUCUCUGAGACACCGCUUCAGCACAGAGUGGCAGGAGCAGAAGGUGAGAGAAACGUCAGCAAAUCAUCUGCAAAAGACAAGAUUCUGAUUCUUUGUGGCUGGCAAGAGGAGAAUCCAAGAAUACCAAAAUGAGUCAUAAAAAGUUAAAGGUGAGUUUGAGAGAAGAGGAAUUCAACCGAGUAGAGCCGCAGUAGCAUAAAAACAGGAAAGAGCAUUUCUUUGGCCUCGUAAAGAGAAAUACUCUCAAAAAAUCUCUAGUGUAUUGGUACAACAGGGAAUGAAAUACUAUUCGCGGUUGCAUAACCCUUCCUGGGUGUUGUGCAUUUCAACCGUGACUGAAAAAAAGUAAGCAGAACUAAAGCUAGUUACACUACGGGCCGAUCAUUCUUUAUUAGAAUGGCUACUAAGCUGGUUUUAUAUCGUACAGUCCAGUUUUUUAAGGGUAUUUGUUAAGCACUUACUCUGCAUCAAGCAAUAUCCCAAGGGCUGGGGUAGAUAGAGAUUAAUCAGGUUGUACACAUCCUGUCCCUCAUGGGACUCAGAGUCUAAGUAGGACGGAGUAGGAUUUAAUCCCCAUUUUAUAGAUGAGGAAGCCAGGGUCACAGAC